Molecule: long non-coding RNA, 1537 nt
Filed under: Calidris pugnax (ruff)
Lineage: Eukaryota; Metazoa; Chordata; Aves; Charadriiformes; Scolopacidae
Description: lncRNA (ENSCPUG00000005323.1)
Rfam family: Small nucleolar SNORD12/SNORD106 (bases 379-467)
Source: RNAcentral
GGGGUCGGGGCGGGCCCCGCCGCCUCUAUAAAAGGCCUCGCGCGGGCCUUCUCAGCCUCUUGCUGCGGCGUGGCUGAGGUGGGUACGGUUGGCGAGCUGGGCUCUGGGGGACUUGCCGGGUCUGGGCUUUUCCCCUUUGUCCACUUCGUGGGGGCUCUCCUUGCCUGAGGGGGUUGCUGGCCGCCGCCGGCGUCGCCUCCUUCUCUCCCCUCCCGCUGAGGGAGCGGCCGGGCCGCGUGGGCUGCCGGCAUGGCCGCCGCCUCCGCUCGGCCUCGGGAGUCCUGUCCCCAAGAGCUUAUCCCGAGGCUCCUGUGGUGUUCCCCAGUGAGCGCCCACCGUUCCCGGGAAGGUCUAGCAUCUGUGAGGGACUGGGGACUCGCUGGUGUGGGUGAUGACAGUUUUUUCCCCGUCAGAGCGACAGUGUUGAUCUUUCGUUGUUCAAGCCAGAUCACGUCUGAUGCACCAGCGGGAAGCGCCGCGGUGUCCUACGCCUUUGCGGGGCCCGGUGUUAACUAUUACCUGUGGUUUUGUCCCCAGGGCAGAGGGUGCUGGGCUCCGGGAGAGCCGAUGCCGCGGGAGGGGGGUAGUUGCCGGCUUUACCCCGCCAUGCCCGAGCCUCCGGCAGGGGGGAUUGGGUGCUGCACAGGCAGGGUUGAGACUCUUGGAGACUUGACGUGAUGGUGUCACUGGCAGUGAUAAAUUGCGUGAUGAGGACAGUUGCCUGGUUUGCUCCACCCAGCCUGAGCCUCCAGCAAAUAAGAAUGGUAAGUCCUUAAAGUAACUGUUGAGCACUGGUUUAAAUUGUAGCUAAAAAAAAAAAAAAAAAAGCAGAGGGAAAUAAUUUUCUGGAAAUGAGUUGAUCCCAGAAGUCUUUGUACCUGGAGACCUGACUAACCUGCAAAGUUGAGCAUUACCCUAGGUAUCAUAGAGAUGAAAGCACAGAGGUUUUCCUCAUGCAGAAGCAUUGCAUCAAGGUCCUUUGUGCCUUUGCUGGCCGACUUGAGGGAGUGUGAGAGGGUAGCAGACAGAUGUUCAGUGUUUGGUGGUGGCCAUAUGUGUGUAUGGCUUUGCCACUUCCUCUGCUAUGAGUUCACUUGGUCCUUGCAGACCUGCCAGGGAGGUGGGAGUGUGGCACGGCUGCUGUGGGUGUGCAGUCACCUAGCUCCUGGGAACUCGCUGGUGUCAGUGAUGACUGAAUUCUUUCCCCUUCAGAGCGACAGUGUUGAUUUCUCACUGUUCAAGCCAAAUGAUGUCUGAUGCACCAGCAGGGAAGUGCUGGUGUGUCCCACACUCAGGUGGGGCCUUGUGCUGACUCUUCCCUUUGGGUUUACUUGUAGGGUGCUGCAAAGGCAGGGUUGAGGCUCUUGGAGACCUGAUGUGAUGGUGUAACUGGCAGCGAUGAAUUCUGUGAUGAGGGCAGUCGCCUGGUUUGCUCCACCGUAUCUGCCCCUCUGGCUGAGGAGAAUGGUAAGUCUUUGAUCCACCUAUCUUCACUGGUUUAAAUAAAUUAAAAUAGAGAAAAAAAAAAAAGAGGAGG